GACGUAGGGCGCGAGCGUUGUCCGGAUUUAUUGGGCGUAAAGAGCUCGUAGGCGGCUUGUCGCGUCGACUGUGAAAACCCAUGGCUCAACCAUGGGCUUGCAGUCGAUACGGGCGGGCUAGAGUUCGGUAGGGGAGACUGGAAUUCCUGGUGUAGCGGUGAAAUGCGCAGAUAUCAGGAGGAACACCGGUGGCGAAGGCGGAUCUCUGGGCCAUUACUGACGCUGAGGAGCGAAAGCGUGGGGAGCGAACAGG
This 253-nucleotide ribosomal RNA is filed under the name uncultured bacterium. RNAcentral's name for it is "partial 16S ribosomal RNA". It matches the Rfam family "Bacterial small subunit ribosomal RNA", at positions 524 to 776 of the family's 1533-position model. The record is from RNAcentral.